UUUGACCUCGGAUCAGGUAGGGAUACCCGCUGAACUUAAGCAUAUCAUA
Molecule: ribosomal RNA, 49 nt
Filed under: Didymosphaeria variabile
Lineage: Eukaryota; Fungi; Ascomycota; Dothideomycetes; Pleosporales; Didymosphaeriaceae
Also listed under: 2 other names
Description: partial 28S ribosomal RNA
Source: RNAcentral